GCGGCGUUAGCUCAGCUGGGAGAGCAACUGGUUUACACCCAGUAGGUCGGGGGUUCGAUCCCCUCAUGCCGCA
Molecule: transfer RNA, 73 nt
Filed under: Corynebacterium sp. DNF00584
Lineage: Bacteria; Bacillati; Actinomycetota; Actinomycetes; Mycobacteriales; Corynebacteriaceae
Rfam family: tRNA
About the family: Transfer RNA (tRNA) molecules are approximately 80 nucleotides in length. Their secondary structure includes four short double-helical elements and three loops (D, anti-codon, and T loops).
Source: Rfam by way of RNAcentral